This 2900-nucleotide long non-coding RNA is filed under the name Homo sapiens (human). RNAcentral describes it as "NR2F1 regulatory antisense RNA 1, transcript variant 50 (NR2F1-AS1)". The record is from RNAcentral. Lineage: Eukaryota; Metazoa; Chordata; Mammalia; Primates; Hominidae.
ACAGGAGCCCCAGCCCCACACAGCAACCACCCGGGCGAGAAAGAAAGAAAGAGCCAGGGAGGCGGGCGAAGCGCGGGGAGAGAAGCAGAGAAGAAAUAUUCACCUUCCCGCCUCAUGCCCACUUUGAGGCACUUCUUGAGGCGGCAGUAUUGGCACUGGUUGCGGUGGUGCUGGUCGAUGGGACAGUUCCUGUUGGCACGGCAUGUGUAAGUUAAGUUCCUGCGGACGCUCCUCUUGAAGAAACUUUUGCAGCCCUCGCAGACAGGGACUGAGAAACGGAAAUACUACCAUCCUCCAGCCAAUCUGUUGGGAGGACUGCUUGCAGAGGACUCGUGCUCCAGAUGUUGCACUAGAGGCGCUGCAAGUGUGAGCAGCAGGUAGAUGAAACUCAAGAGAAAAGGUGUGGAUAAAUGAAACUAGCCCAUGAUGAACCUGUUUUCUCCGUGACCACAAUAUUAACCAGGAUGAAUGGCGGUGGCAGUGGGCCUGCAUCACAGGUUGCAGCAGAUGUUCUCAAUAUUUCUAUUAAAAUUUCCUUAUUUCCAUAUGCAAGAGGAGCCCCAGAGCUGCAUCCUUAUGGUAGCUACCAUGCCGUGAUGUAAGCUGCCAUUCACUGGGGAGCUUUGGCAAUAGAAUUGGCUAGAUCAGGAAGCCUAUGUCAACUAUGGAACAACAACUUGCAGCUCAUCUCUAUUGAUGGACCUCUAACAAUGAUAUUGGAAGAAUAGAUACUAAGUCUUGGAGAGAUACACUGCCUCUAGGACUGGGACAGAUAGCCACUGAGUACCUGCUUCAAAUCACCCUGCACGUUUUCUCUUUGGAAAGAUAAGCACUGGAGAACCAUCUCGUUACCUUCAGCAGAAAUGGAAACAAAUCAAGACAUUAAGAAUGCCGCAGUGGACAGCAGUUAUGCAAGGUUCAGCAGAGGAAGUUUUCAAGAUGGUGUGCCUCACUAGCCAGAAAUCAGAAAAGAUCGAAGCUAGCCUUUUCAUCUCAGCUGCUCCUUAAAUCAGUGCAACCCCUCCAAAUUAAUGUGAAUUGAAACUUGCAUUGCUUUUCAACUUAAUUGAAUACUUACUAUAUGUGAACCACUGCACAAAAUAGGGGAAGAAGAUGUGGGAGACAAAGAUGUGGAGCCUGUCUUCAAUAAAUUUACAGUUAGUUUCAGGGUACAUUGUUUUUCUUCUGCUGUUAAUUAGGUGUAUCCCCAAGACAAUAAAUACAUGAAUGGAAAAGUAUAUUCUGUGUUUUAAGUCUCUUUAAUAAAAAACAAAACAAAAUCCAAAAAAACUCCUAACAUGGCAACUCAGGACAUUUUAAUCCUUUUUUUUGUUGUUGGGCUUCUGAUAGGAUCCAUUUUAUUGAUUCCAUAAAUAUUUAGUAGACUUUAGACAUAUUAAUACAUUGUAGUUUGAGUUAAUUUGCAUUAAAUUCUGUUUUUUUCCCCUUAGGUAUAGAUUGUCUGUUGGAAAAAUAUAUUGCUUGUGGAUUUCUUGGGGAGUGGGAAGGUGAAUUAUACCUGUUGUCUCUACAGUCCACUACCUUCCACACCCUAGGGCAGUGGUCCCCAACCUUCUUGGCACCAGGGAUCAGUUUCCUGGAAGACAAUUUUUCUGUGGAUGGUGUGGGGAUGGUUUUGGGAUGGAACUGUUCCACCUCAGAUCAUCAGGCAUUAGUUAGGCUCUCAUAACGAGUGCGCAGCCUAGAUCCCUCACAUGCACAGUUCACAGUAGGGUUUGCGCUGCUAUGAGAAUCUAAGGCUGCCACUGAUCUGACAGGAGGCAGAACUCAGGUGGCAAUGCUUACUGGCCCACUGCUCACCUCUUGCUGUGCGGCCUGGUUCCUAAUAGGCCAUGGACCCCCACAGACGGGUACUAGUCUGCAGCCUGUGGACCCCAGCCCUAGGGGCCUGCCAUUCUGAGUGAGUUAUUAGCAUGAAGAAGAGGAAGAUCUGGAUCAAACGUGGGUGAUGGUACUCAGAGACCCAAGAUAGGAUAGGGAUGGAACAAAAUCCAUCUGGGCAACGGCUCUAUGAAAAUUUGGCUAAGUAAUUAUUUCAGUAUUCAUUGUAUUCAUUGUCCUUCGUGUUCCAUAAGUUAAAUGACUGUCUAAUUUUUCCAAAAAUUUAUUUCUGACUUGAGAAUAAGUGUGUCAUGAUUUUCCCAGUGUAAAGACACUGAUAUAACUGUAGAUACCAGACAUUUUAUGUAGUGUCUAUGACACAUUUUAGUAUGUAUGAGCCAACAAUAGACAUGUCUUUGUCUUGAGGAGUGUCCAUCUGAAUUGAAAAUGUGUCAGCUUUUUUUUAACAUCAUCAACAGACUUCUUAAUUAAGCUGCCAAUACAUACUGCCAAUAGCACUGUGUGCUGUCUGAGAAAUGCAUUGUGUAAGUGCUAUUUCCAUCUUAUUAAAUAAACAAUGUUGCUCUGUAUAAACUGGAUUUAAAGUGUUCUUUGAAUGAGGCAUUAUAUUGCUCCAUAAAUAAUGUGAUGUGAAUUCUCAUAUGAUCCCUUUUAACUUAAUUUCUAAAAAAAUAUUAUUUGCUCCUCAGUAAGGAAUAGCUCUAAUUGGACUGGUAACUUUAGUGAUAUGAUUUGUCUGUAACAGGCUGAAUCGCCCCACUCCCAAACUCCUGGUCGUGAUACUGGAUAUUUGUUAUGCCACUUUUAGUUUGCAUGAGGUAUCUUCCAGGAAGUAUUAGUUAUUAACUUGUGUUCUACUAAACUGUAGAUAUUUAUUUCCUGUUCUGGAAGAUUUCUUGGAGUGUCCAUCUGUGCAUUCCUGGUGCCUAGUGUAGUCUUGCUAAUGGAAUAGCACCUUUAUUGGUGCUACUUAGGGGUUGGUAGCUUACAAUCAAUCUACUUGGAACGUAUCCAAAUAAACUGGAUAUUUUUAUACA